Ochotona curzoniae (black-lipped pika) is the source of this 365-nucleotide long non-coding RNA. RefSeq lists it as uncharacterized. The record is from RefSeq and is a predicted model, not a curated record. The transcript is spliced from 4 exons. Lineage: Eukaryota; Metazoa; Chordata; Mammalia; Lagomorpha; Ochotonidae.
UGCUCAGGAGCCCAGGUGUGCUGACCGUAGGCCGAAGGGUCUGCGAUGUGCUCCUCCAUGAAGCAGCCGAAGCCGGAGAGGUUGGUGGAGAUGCUGGGGAUCCCCAUCACGGUGCACUCCGCUGCGCACACAGCACAGGAAGGCACGACGGACUGCGACCACUGGUCUGGUCCUCAAUCAGGAGAAAACAGCGAACAGAGGACUGGGGGACUCAGAGAAGACCACUGUCCCUCCCGGAUGUGACCACACCCCCAGCUUGGCGCUCACCUGCACUGCUGUUGAAGAGGCCGAUGCGGCGGAUGGUCGUGAGAAUGGGGUCUGAGGAGUCGUCCAGCAUGUUCUCCCUGCUUGUGGCCUGGGAAAGC